GAUAUCUAAUAUGCCACACGUGUGGGCGUUAUCGGCGUCCAUCUUUUUUUAAAGGAGGUUAAGACCGCCGGCCUCAGCAUCAAUCGAUGCAUGCAGCCAUCUUUAUUAAUUAUUCAACAAAGGUCUAACAAGAACAUACAUCAACCCACCCGAAGCCACCACUCACACCUACAAGCUUGAUAAUGUGGAGUGCUCUCACUCCCCAUAUUUAAAACUGGUGUCGUCUGAUAUAUCCACAUAACGUAUCGAAACCUACAGCCGGUGCAGCAAACCUAAAGCGUACACCACAUGCACACGUUUUAGAAGCCGCCAUCAUCAUUGUAUCGCUGAUCCAUUUUCAGAAAGGAGAUCCGUGUCAUCUUUGCCAGUCCGGCCACCCGUCGAUGCCACCACGGCGCCCAACGGCACCACCUCCCUGCGUACGAUCCACGUCAAUAAAAUCUUUUAGAGUGAGCAUUUCUAAAACUUCAUCAAAGAUACUGCAAUUGGAGCAACACAGUGAUACUAUCAUUUAUUCACCUAUAUAAGAACUUGAUUACUAAUAAAGAUUUUUUUAAAGGUCAUUUCAGUUGUCGUCCAAAUAGAUGGGAAGCCAUGCCUGAUGAACGGACUUGGGUCGGGGUUAAUCCCCUACAAAUAAUGUGUCGUCGAAUGACAAGAUCUUCGUCGCAACGUCGAGGAAAUAUUUCAACUCCACAAAAAACCAAACUAGCAAAAACAAUUCGUCACAAUAACAGAAAGUUACCAGAUUCAAAUAAAUGGAUAUGUCAGAACACAAAGCUCACUAGCUCCAUGCACCGACAUUUUAUGGUUUAGAUUUUUUUUCUUCUUCGUAAAAGCCCACUAUGAAAAAGCUACCGAAGACCACAUCACUAUUAAAUCUGAUGUAUCCACACUUUUCAGCACCAAGAUGACAGCCGAAAGUGAGGGAAUCUUCAACCGCAGUCUCCAUCUCUCAAAUCCUUUACCUGAUUGAAAAAUAAUAAUCAAAUCCUAUUCGCGCUUAUGCGCUAGUCAGUGUGUUACCCGUGCAUAGUGCCCACGUCGUUUCUACAUGGGCCAUCUAUUUGACUUCCAUAGUUUCGGUUUUUGGGAACCUGCUCGAAGCUUCCUGUCCGAUUUUCCUGAUAUUUUCUUUCUUCGGUGUUUCUACGUUUGUUUUAUUUCACUUUAUCAUUUUUUAUUUCAUUUUAAAAGUCAUAUUUUUCAAAUUUGUUAAUAUUUUAAAAUAAUUUUUAAAUUCAUGAGAAUUUUAAAAUUAUUGAACAUUAUGAUAUUUGUGAGGUUUUUUAAAUCCAUGAAACAUUUCGAAAGACGGGAUUUGUUUAGAGUUUAUGAAUAUUUUUAAUGGUCAGGCAUAACCAAAGUCAACGGUUAGAAAACUUGUAGAUGCCUGUUUUGUUACUAUUUUGUUUUUUGAGACAAGCCUGUUUUGUUACUAAGAAAAGAGAGGGACGAAUCAGGCGCUAGCGCUACAUGGGCCGGCCCUUAAAGUUGUGCUCCGUCGACUAAGCCACGCAUGAAGCGCUGUAUAGGUGCGAGUUCUCCUUGUCUAUAUAAAAAAAGGACCUCGAUAAGGACCGAACGUUCGGCCUGGGCAAGCGCCAGACCGAACGAAACAUUCGGAUCUGGGACAGCACUCUACCGAAUAGAAUCGUUUGGUGUAGAAACGCACCAGCCCGAACCCCUCAUUCACGAGCAACUUGGCAAUACGUGCAGUUUAAAGACAGUGGGUAAAAAAAGGCCCAGCGUACGCACACAAAGACCCAAGUAUUAAAAAAGCUAGCAAUUGCACACAUACUAGGAAAUCAAAAACUGGAAAAUUCCCAUAGCAAAAUUUACACAAUUUUUCCAUGGCAAAAAUACUUUAAUUCACAUGGAAAAUUUUAGUUUAAUUUUCCAUGGCAAAAUUUACUCUAUUUUUGCCAUUGCAAAAAAUACUUUUAUGCACAUGGCAAAUUUCAGUUUAAUUUAGCAUGGAAAAAUGUACUCUAUUUUUGUCAACUUCUAUUCACAUGGCAAGUUUUAGUUAAUUUGCCAUGGCAAAAUUUACUCUAAUUUUUGCCAUGGAAAAAAUACUUUUAUGCACAUGGCAAGUGUUAGCUUAAUUUGCCAUGGCAAAAUUUACUCUAUUUUUGCCAUCGCAAAAAUACUUCUAUUCACACGGCAAGUUUUAGUUUAAUUUGCUGUGGCAAAAUUUACUCUAUUUUUGCCAUGGCAAAAAAAAUACUUUUAUUCACAUGGCAAGUUUUAGUUUAAUUUACUCUAUUUUUGCCAUGGCAAAAAUACUUUUAUUCACAUGGCAAGUUUUAGUUUAAUUUGCCAUGAGAAAAAUACUUUUAUUCACAUGGCAAGUUUUAGUUUAAUUUGCCAUGGCAAAAUUUACUCUAUUUUUGCCAUGGCAAAAAUAUUUUUAUUCACAUGGCAAGUUUAUUUGCCAUGGCAAAAUUUACUCUAUUGUUGCCACGGCAAAAUUUACUCUAUGUUUGCCAUGUCAAAAUUUACACUAUGCAAGUAUAUUGAGCGCAACCAACUUGUUUGCCUAGAGAAGUUGCUGUCAUGUAUACAAAUACAAGCACAAGAAAGAUGAGCUGCUUGGGAAGCUACUGACAUACACCUCUUUCCAUGUUGUAGAACAAAGAUGUUUUCCAAAUUGUGAUAGCCCAAACAAAUACAAAAGACAAAAAAAUCAAACCAAUUUGCCAUGUUCUAGCUAACACAAAUUUCAGUAAAUUGUCAUGGCGUUUUUACAAAAGAAUUGCCACGGUUUAUUGAGAACAGCGUCUAUAAAAUUGCCUUGGAAAUAGUACUAACAACUUCAGAAUCAUGGCAAAACAUAUUAUGUUCUAUUUCCAUGGCAAAUGGCGACAUACUUUGUGUUUCCAUGGCAAGAUAUUAGAUAUUUUGCCAUGGUAAGAAAUAAUUUAAACUGGGACGGCAGCAAAAGUUGAGGCAACAUGGCAACAUAUUUUGUGUUUGCAUGGCAAAAACAUAUUUUGCCUUUCCAUCAACUAUAAUUUCUAAAAAAAUGCAAUGCAAAAUUGGUCAAUUAACACCACAUGAAAGUAAAAAGAGUUUCUGCAAUCCAUGAAUGACUGAGAAAAUGAAUCAUACAAUAAUUGCAUCAUAUGGAUUGAGCUAAAAAAGGUGAAUCACCGUCGAGAGGUCAUGUGUUGAGCCAGUAACAUAAAACUGAACCUGUCCUUCGAGAGUUCAUGUGCAGCAGACGAGUUCCUGAACGCCCGAGCGGCCGGAGAAGACGAGCAGGAUGGUCCCGUCGCCCAUGGGCAGCGCCUGGUCGCCGUGCUAGGAGAAGACGUGGCCGUGGAGGGCGCCGCCACGCAGGAUGGCGCCGUCGUCUCCGGGUGAACGCGCAGCGCACGAGUUCCCCGGCGUCCGAUAAGCCAGAGAAGACGAGGAGGAGGGUCCCGUCGCCCAUGGACACCGUGCUCGGAGAAGACGCGACCGAGGUGGGCGCCGAGGCGAGGGGCGAUGCUAUCGCCUAAAAAUGGCCGCGCCGUCGCGACGGACGCGAAGGUGUGCGGCGGAGGAGACGCAGCUCGGCGAGGGCGGACUCCGUCGGCGUCGAGUAUGGUCAGCUCGGGGACGGAAGCCUCGGAUGGCGGCGACCUCGGCGACGGCGAGGAUCGCGCGGAUGGAGGCGUGUCCGUGGAGCGGUGGAGGCUGCCGCGGCCCUCAGCCUCCAACCACAACGGCAGCUGAAGCCGCUCGCGCGGACCCGGAGCACGCCGGCCUGUUGCUUCACGCCGGCGAGCAUCGCGGCGACCUACGGCGGUCGGCCUCCGCCUCACUCUCUGGUUGGGCGCGGCCUGAGAGGAAUGGAUAAGGAGGGGAAUAGAGAAAUGCGGCGACG
RNAcentral lists this long non-coding RNA (3874 nucleotides) under Triticum aestivum (bread wheat). RNAcentral describes it as "long non-coding RNA (TAES_LNC013194)". The record is from RNAcentral. Lineage: Eukaryota; Viridiplantae; Streptophyta; Magnoliopsida; Poales; Poaceae.